GUGCUUGCUUCAGCAGUACAUAUACUAAAAUUGGAAUGAUACAGAGAAGAUUAGCAUGGCCCCUGCGCAAGGAUGAGAUGCUAUCCCAGAUACCUGGGAUAUCUUG
Molecule: small nuclear RNA, 106 nt
Organism: Suncus etruscus (white-toothed pygmy shrew)
Lineage: Eukaryota; Metazoa; Chordata; Mammalia; Eulipotyphla; Soricidae
Source: RefSeq, a predicted model, not a curated record